RNAcentral lists this ribosomal RNA (464 nucleotides) under uncultured bacterium. RNAcentral's name for it is "partial 16S ribosomal RNA". It matches the Rfam family "Bacterial small subunit ribosomal RNA", at positions 339 to 795 of the family's 1533-position model. The record is from RNAcentral.
CUACAGGAGGCAGCAGUGGGGAAUAUUGCACAAUGGGCGCAAGCCUGAUGCAGCCAUGCCGCGUGUAUGAAGAAGGCCUUCGGGUUGUAAAGUACUUUCAGCGGGGAGGAAGGGAGUAAAGUUAAUACCUUUGCUCAUUGACGUUACCCGCAGAAGAAGCACCGGCUAACUCCGUGCCAGCAGCCGCGGUAAUACGGAGGGUGCAAGCGUUAAUCGGAAUUACUGGGCGUAAAGCGCACGCAGGCGGUUUGUUAAGUCAGAUGUGAAAUCCCCGGGCUCAACCUGGGAACUGCAUCUGAUACUGGCAAGCUUGAGUCCCGUAGAGGGGGGUAGAAUUCCAGGUGUAGCGGUGAAAUGCGUAGAGAUCUGGAGGAAUACCGGUGGCGAAGGCGGCCCCCUGGACGAAGACUGACGCUCAGGUGCGAAAGCGUGGGGAGCAAACAGGAUUAGAUACCCCCGUAGUC